RNAcentral lists this long non-coding RNA (257 nucleotides) under Sorghum bicolor (sorghum). RNAcentral's name for it is "long non-coding RNA (SBIC_LNC012333)". The record is from RNAcentral. Lineage: Eukaryota; Viridiplantae; Streptophyta; Magnoliopsida; Poales; Poaceae.
GUUUAUAUUGUUUGGCUCAGUUAGGUUAUGAAUCAUACCUGGAUGAAAAUAUAUGAGUUGUAUUACUUUUAUAAGCUUUCCAUCAAGCUGAAUAGCAUAAUUUUUGGUGAAGCAUAUGAUUAGUUAUAGUAGUUUAAAUUACUGUUUCAGUUUCUGUCUAAACCCAGACAAGGAUGCAUUGUUUGUUAUGUAAGACCUUGUUAGUUGUAGAUUUAGCUCUAGAUGUUUAUAACAUAGUUGUUUACAAUUUAGUAAGC